GGGCAGCUCUCCUGCCCUGCUCACUGUCUGACUAGCCACCCACUGUAACACCGGGUCGGUUUUGUAAACAUAUUAACUUGUUUCCGUGACUGCAAAUAUCCUGUGACUAAGAAUGCCUGAUUUCCUGGCAAUGCAGCCCAGCAGCUCUCAGCCUCAUCUGACCCAGCCCCUAUUCAAGAUGGAGACGCCCUGGUUCAGACGCCUCUGACAGAUGCUCCAAGAUGAUGUGAAGCAUCAACAUGUUCACCUCUGCUCUGGUUACAAGAGGGAUGCAGUGUUCCAGGUGUCACAUGGAGAUAGCCGGGCAUCUCAUGAAGACAGGGGCAUUUUUGUCCUUUGAUACUUUCUAUGAAUAAGGAAAAAAUUAUCUGAUAUCUCCCUUAAAACCUUUCUGGCAGGAUUGGGCCCCAUAGUGUGCCUUGCUGGAGGAGAGGCUGGAAGGGACAGUACCCGCCAUCUUUGUUCUCUCAGGUUGGAGACAGGCCCUGCUGGAGAAUGGGGAGGCACGAGGAAUAAAGAGGGUCUACUUCAGAGCAGCAGAAAAAAUGUUUCUUUCUGGAAAUAUACUGAAGAACAAAAUGUGAUAUGAAGACAUAUGGAAUAUAAAAACAAAGGGUGGACAGGCUGUGUAAAAAUGGAAUCUGUCACUCAUGUCUCCUAUUUGAUAAAUUGGAGUAUAUAUAAAUUUACUCAAUUUAAAUGCAAAUAUUUGAUUUUAGAAAGUCUCAUACUCUAUAUAUUAUAGGGCAGAAAAUUUUCAUAUCAUCGCACACUCUAUUAAAGAGGAUUUCAAACUAUUUUAAAACUGUUCAGCAGCCUUGUAAUAAAGUUAUCCUCUGAACCUCUUCACACACUUAUCAACCUUGACUUAUAUUACUCCAAAUAUUUCAGCCUGUUUCUUGAGGAUGCUUUACCUUGGGGUCUCUAAGUGUAAAGAUUUCCAGUUGUUUCCAGCACAUUCUGUCACCUUUGUUCAACUCUCCAACUUUACUUCAUUAAUGUAUAUGGAUAAUGUUCAGUUCCAUCACAUCUUAUGAAGAACUAAUGAAGCUCUUCCAGACUUAAUUUUAGGAUUCAGUGGCUGUCUGGAUUCCCUUGUAUCAGCAUUCACUUUCGUCAUCACUUGCCUUGGUAAUUUCUCCUUCUCACAACAGCAAAUUUCACGACUAACGAUGGCCCGAAGGCUCCUUCCCUCCACGGGAUUCUGCUCCAGCCACAGCAGAGACUAUUUUGCACACCUUCCAGACAUUGCUGCCCCAUUCCAGCAGAUACAAGUGCCCUUCUUGUCUCAUGGACUCAAUCAGGAGAUAUGAAGAUUGACAACUGAUUGGCAAAAGUGAAGUCACUGUGUGACCUGUCCUGAAAAGAUGGUGGCUGCAUCUAGAAACAGUGACGUGUUUGGGGAACAAUGGAGUAGAGUCAGAGACGCACCUACUAAGACAUUUUGGCUGCUGGGCACCUGAACAUGAGCAAUGUGAAGCUUCCGGUGCGUGUUUCCAUAGAGAGUUUUCUGAUAAUGUGUCAGUUAUUUUUAGCCACAAAACACUAUAAGACAACUGAGCAUGCUUUUCAGUGGCUAACAACUAUAAGCAUUAAUUUUGCUCAUGCACUAAGGGAUGACUGAGCCCUUCUGCUGGCCUGGGCCACGCCUAACUGAUUGCAGCUGGGCUAGCUCUUGCAUCAGCUGGUGGAUUGGCCUGGGGCAGGCUGGCCUGGGGUAGCUUUGGUUGGGAUGAUUUUUUUCUGCUCUGUGGUCUUUCAUCUUGUGAUAGGCUAGUCUCGGCUUUUCCUACAGUGGAGGCAGGGGUCUGAGGGAAGAAGUGGAAACACUUGAGGCCUGGGAGGCCUACUCUGAUAAUAAGCCAAGUCACCUCUGCUGCAUUCUAUUGGUUAGAGCAAGCCACAGCUCAGCCCAGACACAAGAGUUGGGCAACACCCUCUACUUCUUGAUGAGAGGAGCUAACAUGUAACUUUGCAAAUGGAAUAAAUAUAGAAAAAGGUGAAAAUUCAGGGCCAUUUUUGCAAUCAGUCCAUUACAGAUGGUUUAUUAUUGAGAAACAUCUAUACAUCCAUAUCCAUAUAAAAUUACAUAUCUGUAUCUAUUUUUGAUGUUAUAGUUGACCCCUGAUCCAGAGAAGAAAGGGAUAGAGUGUAAUAAUCUCUGCUUUCUGGUGGAUCUCCUGUUGUUGAGUAAAAGGGAAUAUGAUCAGGAAAUCACAAAUAUCAAAAGAAUGGAAUGGAUAACUGACAAAUGAUUUAUAUUCCAUAUGCGUAUGUCACAUUUAAUAAAACAAAAUUAUGGCUGAGCACAGUGGCUCACACCUAUAAUCUUAGCACUUUGGAGGCCGAGGAGGGCGGAUCACAAGGUCAAGUUUAAGACCAGCCUGAACGACAUGGUGAAACCCCGUCUCUACUAAAAAUACAAAAAUUAGCUGGGCAUGGUGGUGCAUACCUGUAAUCCUAGCUAUUCAGGAGGCUGAGGCAGGAGAAUCGCUUGAACCCAGGAGGCAGAGGUUGCAGUGAGCUAAGAUCGUGCCACUGCACUCCAGCCUGGGUGACAGAGUGAGACUCCAUCUCAAACAAACAAACAAACAAACACCCCACAAAACUACAUAAUAGGAAAAUGUACUUGAUAAUAUUAAACUUUUAAGCAGUCCUUUAGAAAUGGCUGAGAAAAGUGAUUAGGAAAAGGGUGAAAACCUCCAACACUUAGGGAAAAUCCUGUAGCUAUCAGCGGCAGAAAGCAAUCCUUAAUUUUCCGUAUGUCCCAGAGGGAAUGAGAAAGUCAACUGGACUGAGGCUGU
This 2804-nucleotide long non-coding RNA is filed under the name Homo sapiens (human). RNAcentral's name for it is "HSALNT0253011". Lineage: Eukaryota; Metazoa; Chordata; Mammalia; Primates; Hominidae. The record is from RNAcentral.